ACUCAAAUGAAUAGACGGGGCCCCGCACAAGCAGCGGAGCGUGUGGUUUAAUUCGAUGAUACACGAAGAACCUUACCAGGGUUUGACAUGCUAGUGGUAGGGAUCCGAAAGGUGACCGACCCCUCGGGGAGCUAGCACAGGUGCUGCAUGGCUGUCGUCAGCUCGUGUCGUGAGAUGUUCGGUUAAGUCCGCUAACGAGCGCAACCCCUGCUGUGUGUUACAUGUGUCACACGGGACUGCCGGUCUUAAACCGGAGGAAGGUGGGGAUGACGUCAAGUCAGCAUGGCCUUUAUGUCCUGGGCUACACACACGCUACAAUGGCCGGUACAAUAGGUUGCGAAGCCGCGAGGCGGAGCCAAUCCUCAAAGCCGGCCUCAGUUCAGAUUGCAGGCUGCAACCCGCCUGCAUGAAGAUGGAGUUGCUAGUAACCGCAGGUCAGCUAUACUGCGGUGAAUACGUUCCCGGGGCUUGCACACACCGCCCGU
RNAcentral lists this ribosomal RNA (485 nucleotides) under uncultured bacterium. RNAcentral describes it as "bacterial SSU rRNA". It matches the Rfam family "Bacterial small subunit ribosomal RNA", at positions 899 to 1397 of the family's 1533-position model. The record is from RNAcentral.